Non-coding RNA from Podarcis lilfordi (Lilford's wall lizard), 72 nucleotides. Lineage: Eukaryota; Metazoa; Chordata; Lepidosauria; Squamata; Lacertidae. The record is from the annotation of a GenBank genome assembly.
AGGUGUGUGGCCUAGUGGUUAGAGUGUCAGACUCAGCCCUUGAAUGCCAGGGUUCAAAUCCCCACUCAGCUG